Molecule: long non-coding RNA, 1675 nt
Filed under: Marmota monax (woodchuck)
Lineage: Eukaryota; Metazoa; Chordata; Mammalia; Rodentia; Sciuridae
Source: RNAcentral
UGGCAAGAAAAUCCAAGGCAAGAAAACUUGUUUUUGUUUUUCAGUAUUGGGCGUUGAACUCGGGGGUGCUUAACCACUGGGCCACAUUCCCAGCUGUCUCUUUAUUUAUUUAUUUUUUAAAAAAUUUUGAGAUAGGGUCUUAUUAAGUUGCUAAGGCUGGCUUGAAAUUUGGGAUCCUCCUGAGCCACUGGGAUUACAGUCUUUCUUUUUGGGGCAGGGGCAGCGUUUAAGACUUAUCCUACCAUCUGUAGGGCCUGGGGCAAGAGUACCAAGGGAGACCCAUGUACUAUGUACCUAAAUAUGUAAAUGUGUUACAUCAUGCUGACAUGUGGUGUGUUCAUGCCCCUUUUUGCCCUAAUGACUCCAUUCAGUGGCAAGGAGCCACGUGGGUACAUGGCUACAGUCAAGCCCCAUGCACAAACCCCAGGCUCCGGGAUGAGUAACUCCUUUUGAAUGACCAUGACCACCUCAUAUUCCCUGAGUUUGUUAGCUUUCUGUUACUACAAAAUCAAGUUGCCAUAAAAAGCUUCCAAAGAGAAAAGGGUUAUUUUCGCUCACAGACUGUGGUCCAUUGGCUGCAUUGCUUAGGGACUGGUUCAAGGCAGCACAUCAAAGACAACUCAUGGUCGAGCAAGCUAGUCAUCUCAUGGCAGCUGGAAAGUAAAAGAGAAGAAGAGAAAGGGGCAGCAUCCUCUGAUCCCCACUCAGGCCUUGUGCAUUUGAGGUAAGUACUCUAUCAAUUGAGCUAUAUCCCCUUAGCUAUAUCCCCUAUAUCCCCUAACCAGGCUUGAGGGUGUUUAUAUCUGGAAUUCUAGGUUCUUUAUACCUACUGUGUUUUAGAAGGUAGAGAGGGAAAGUCUCCUUGGCCCAUCAGAAACUUAACCACCUAGGGUGCAAUAUGGCUACAGGAGGACCAAGUUGGUUGCUCAGGGCAGAAGUCCUUCUUGCCUGGGUAUACGAGGUAUAAUAAAGACAAUUUCUUUCCCUGAGGUUUUAUUUUGUCAUUGAGUUCUCCUGAUUUGACUUAGUUUUCUAGAACACUGGCUUUCAAAGAAUGUGUGGACAAGGCUUCUUACCUGGCUUCCUGUAGUACUAACUGCAUCAGUACUUGGCAGGCCAAGGGGCUCUGAGACAGUUCCUGUUGACCAAACUCAUUCUUAUCAGGUGUAGGACCUCCAGGGAAAGGCCCCAGUCCAGGGGUGUUCUCUGGUCCUAUCCAGUUUUCUUAACCAGAUAAAGCAAAUUGAUUGAUUGAUAAAGGUAGAAUACAGUUUUCAAAACACAUUUAAGAUGGAAGCAUACUAAUUUUCUGAUGGCUUCUAAGGGGAACAGUUUGGCAUAUGUUAUUUGGACGAAAUCUAAGCCACUUUAGGAGUUAAGUUUCGGUAUUUAGAGUGGAGGAGGAAGCAGAUUGAUGCAUUGUCUGGUCUCCUUCCCCAAGGUGACAUUCAGAUUUGUUUUGGAAGAAGUGGAAGGAUGGAGGAUUUGGGGCCUAGUUCAAGAACAUUGUGAGGGUGAUACACUCAGGGGCAUGUCCCACCUGGGGAUUUAACAUACGUGGCUCUACUUUUUACCUUGCUUGUGUAUUGGGAAGCACCUCAAUGUUUGGACUCCUUUCUACCUCUGUGGAAAAAGGGUCAGUUUUUCUGCCUUAAUUUUUUUUUUGUAAACUUUG